RNAcentral lists this ribosomal RNA (500 nucleotides) under Rotifera environmental sample. RNAcentral describes it as "partial 18S ribosomal RNA". It matches the Rfam family "Eukaryotic small subunit ribosomal RNA", at positions 588 to 1095 of the family's 1831-position model. The record is from RNAcentral. Lineage: Eukaryota; Metazoa; Rotifera.
CCGCUCCAUAGCGUAUAUUAAAGUUGUUGCAGUUAAAAAGCUCGUAGUUGGAUCUCGGGUACUAGCAUGUGGUACGCUUAAUUGCUGUUACUACAUGUCUGGUCCUAAUCAAUCGGUUGGCCGUUGAUGCCCUUUACUGGGUGUUUUCGGUAGCCGGUACGUUUACUUUGAGAAAAUUAGAGUGCUUAAAGCAGGCAUUCCGCCUGAAUAAUGUUGCAUGGAAUAAUAGAAUAGGACCUCGGUUCUAUUUUGUUGGUUUUGUAGAGCAUUGAGGUAAUGAUUAAUAGGGACAGACGGGGGCAUUCGUAUUGCGGUGUUAGAGGUGAAAUUCUUGGAUCGCCGCAAGACRAACAACUGCKAAAGCAUUUGCCWAKAAUGUUUUCAUUAAUMAAGAACGAARGUUGGAGGUUCGAAGACSAUUAGAUACCGUCCUAGUUCCAACCAUAAACGAUGCCAACUAGCGAUUAGCUGCUGUAAAUUAAACGAAMRAMWCAWCWARC